UGUGGCAGAAAAGUGCCAUGGAUUUAAGCUCCAUUCAUGGAGGCCGUUCCUUCCAUUAAAA
RNAcentral lists this transfer RNA (61 nucleotides) under Enallagma basidens. Its description in RNAcentral is "tRNA-Leu". The record is from RNAcentral. Lineage: Eukaryota; Metazoa; Arthropoda; Insecta; Odonata; Coenagrionidae.